CAGUCGAGGGGCAGCGGGGUAGGAAGCUUGCUUUCUGCCGCCGGCGACCGGCGCACGGGUGAGUAACACGUAUGCAACCUGGCCGUGACAGAUGGAUAACCGGGAGAAAUCCCGCCUAAUACAACAUAAUGCCGGGAGGGGACAUCCCCUGCCGGCCAAAGGGGGCGACCCCGGUCACGGAUGGGCAUGCGGCGCAUUAGGUAGUUGGUGGGGCAACGGCCCACCAAGCCGACGAUGCGUAGGGGUUCUGAGAGGAAGGUCCCCCACAUUGGAACUGAGACACGGUCCAAACUCCUACGGGAGGCAGCAGUGAGGAAUAUUGGUCAAUGGCCGGAAGGCUGAACCAGCCAAGUCGCGUGAGGGAAUAAGGCCCUACGGGUCGUAAACCUCUUUUGCCAGGGAGCAAUGCCGUCCACGUGUGGACGGAAGGAGAGUACCUGGAGAAAAAGCAUCGGCUAACUCCGUGCCAGCAGCCGCGGUAAUACGGAGGAUGCGAGCGUUAUCCGGAUUUAUUGGGUUUAAAGGGUGCGUAGGCGGCCUGCCAAGUCAGCGGUAAAAUUGCGGGGCUCAACCCCGUACAGCCGUUGAAACUGCCGGGCUCGAGUGGGCGAGAAGUAUGCGGAAUGCGUGGUGUAGCGGUGAAAUGCAUAGAUAUCACGCAGAACCCCGAUUGCGAAGGCAGCAUACCGGCGCCCGACUGACGCUGAGGCACGAAAGUGCGGGGAUCAAACAGGAUUAGAUACCCUGGUAGUCCGCACA
Molecule: ribosomal RNA, 759 nt
Filed under: uncultured bacterium
Lineage: Bacteria
Description: bacterial SSU rRNA
Rfam family: Bacterial small subunit ribosomal RNA
Source: RNAcentral